AUUGAACGCUGGCGGCAUGCCUUACACAUGCAAGUCGAACGGCAGCACGGGUGCUUGCACCUGGUGGCGAGUGGCGAACGGGUGAGUAAUACAUCGGAACGUACCUUAUCGUGGGGGAUAACGCAGCGAAAGUUGCGCUAAUACCGCAUACGCCCUGAGGGGGAAAGCGGGGGACCGUAAGGCCUCGCGCGAUUAGAGCGGCGGAUGUUUGAUUAGCUGGUUGGUGCGGUAAAAGCUCACCAAGGCGAUGAUCAGUAGGUGGUCUGUGAGACCGAUCAGCCACACUGGGACUGAGACACGGCCCAGACUCCUACGGGAGGCAGCAGUGGGGAAUUUUGGACAAUGGGGGCAACCCUGAUCCAGCAAUGCCGCGUGAGUAAAGAGGGCCUUCGGGUUGUAAAGCUCUUUUGUCAGGGAAGAAACAGCAGCUCUAACACAGUCUGCAAAUGACGGUACCUGAAGAAUAAGCACCGGCUAACUACGUGCCAGCAGCCGCGGUAA
RNAcentral lists this ribosomal RNA (501 nucleotides) under uncultured bacterium. Its description in RNAcentral is "partial 16S ribosomal RNA". It matches the Rfam family "Bacterial small subunit ribosomal RNA", at positions 30 to 523 of the family's 1533-position model. The record is from RNAcentral.